This 462-nucleotide ribosomal RNA is filed under the name uncultured ammonia-oxidizing beta proteobacterium. RNAcentral describes it as "bacterial SSU rRNA". It matches the Rfam family "Bacterial small subunit ribosomal RNA", at positions 202 to 647 of the family's 1533-position model. Lineage: Bacteria; Pseudomonadati; Pseudomonadota; Betaproteobacteria. The record is from RNAcentral.
AAGCAGGGGAUCGUAAGACCUUGCGCUUUUGGAGCGGCCGAUGUCUGAUUAGCUAGUUGGUGGGGUAAUGGCCUACCAAGGCAUCGAUCAGUAGCUGGUCUGAGAGGACGACCAGCCACACUGGGACUGAGACACGGCCCAGACUCCUACGGGAGGCAGCAGUGGGGAAUUUUGGACAAUGGGCGCAAGCCUGAUCCAGCCAUGCCGCGUGAGUGAAGAAGGCCUUCGGGUUGUAAAGCUCUUUCAGCCGGGAAGAAAAGGUUGCGACUAAUAAUCGCAAUUCAUGACGGUACCGAAAGAAGAAGCACCGGCUAACUACGUGCCAGCAGCCGCGGUAAUACGUAGGGUGCGAGCGUUAAUCGGAAUUACUGGGCGUAAAGGGUGCGCAGGCGGUUUUGUAAGUCAGAUGUGAAAUCCCCGGGCUUAACCUGGGAACUGCGUUUGAAACUACAAGACUAGAGU